Molecule: long non-coding RNA, 392 nt
Organism: Cryptomeria japonica (Japanese cedar)
Lineage: Eukaryota; Viridiplantae; Streptophyta; Pinopsida; Cupressales; Cupressaceae
Exons: 3
Source: RefSeq, a predicted model, not a curated record
AGAUGUUGACAUCAGAGACUCCUCCUGCUAUCCGCGCGUCAAUGGAGCGCGGUGUUGCUGUAGCCAUAGCAAGUUCAACUUCUCUAACAGAAAUCAUGAACAUGCACCUAUUGUGGAUGAACAUCAUGAUUAUUUGUAUGCGGUGAAGUUACAAAAAAGUCUGGAGAGGAGGUCGAGUGGAUGUACUCGAAAGACACCUGCAUCAUAUACAUCUCCAUCCCCUUGACAGGUAAAGAUAUCUCAUGAUCUGUUUCCUUCCCCUAGAGGGAAAUGAAUAGAAUAGGGUCCUAUGUUGUAUGCCUAUAUGGAAAUUUUGAACAUAUGUUUGUAUUACGAAUAUGUGACAUUCUAUGUCCAUAUGGAUUUUGGCAAGCUCCUAUUUGACUUUAUUG